AGGGGUGCAGCUCAGUGUUAGAGCGCUUGCUUAAUAUGCAUGAGACCCUGGGUUUAAUCCCCAAUACUGCAA
This 72-nucleotide transfer RNA is filed under the name Heterocephalus glaber (naked mole-rat). It matches the Rfam family "tRNA". Rfam says of the family: Transfer RNA (tRNA) molecules are approximately 80 nucleotides in length. Their secondary structure includes four short double-helical elements and three loops (D, anti-codon, and T loops). Further hydrogen bonds mediate the characteristic L-shaped molecular structure. tRNAs have two regions of fundamental functional importance: the anti-codon, which is responsible for specific mRNA codon recognition, and the 3' end, to which the tRNAs corresponding amino acid is attached (by aminoacyl-tRNA synthetases). tRNAs cope with the degeneracy of the genetic code in two manners: having more than one tRNA (with a specific anti-codon) for a particular amino acid; and 'wobble' base-pairing, i.e. permitting non-standard base-pairing at the 3rd anti-codon position. Lineage: Eukaryota; Metazoa; Chordata; Mammalia; Rodentia; Bathyergidae. The record is from Rfam by way of RNAcentral.